RNAcentral lists this ribosomal RNA (468 nucleotides) under uncultured bacterium. RNAcentral describes it as "partial 16S ribosomal RNA". It matches the Rfam family "Bacterial small subunit ribosomal RNA", at positions 28 to 507 of the family's 1533-position model. The record is from RNAcentral.
GACGAACGCUGGCGGCGUGCUUAACACAUGCAAGUCGAACGGAAAGGCCCUGCUUCUGUGGGCUGCUCGAGUGGCGAACGGGUGAGUAACACGUGAGUAGCCUGCCCCUGACUUUGGGAUAAUUUCAGGAAACUGGGGCUAAUACCGGCUAGGAGCGCCUGCUGCCUGGUGGGGGUUGGAAAGUUUCGGCGGUUGGGGAUGGACUCGCGGCUUAUCAGCUUGUUGGUGGGGUAGUGGCUUACCAAGGCUUUGACGGGUAGCCGGCCUGAGAGGGUGACCGGCCACAUUGGGACUGAGAUACGGCCCAGACUCCUACGGGAGGCAGCAGUGGGGAAUAUUGCACAAUGGGCGGAAGCCUGAUGCAGCAACGCCGCGUGCGGGAUGACGGCCUUCGGGUUGUAAACCGCUUUCGCCUGUGACGAAGCGUGAGUGACGGUAAUGGGUAAAGAAGCACCGGCUAACUACGUG